GCUCAUUUAUUUAUUUAUUAAUUAAAUUAACAUUAAAAAAAUAUGUAUUCACUUUUAAAUAAAAUAUUUAAAUUAUUAAAAGCAUAAAUUUAUCGUAUAACAUUCAAUAGGCAUUUCCUAUACAAUGUUACUAAAUAAUACUCACUAAACAUAUUUAAAAUAUAAUUUUUAUCUAUUGUUUACAAACACUUAAGACAUUCUAUAAUUACACAUUCACUCAAGCCCCCUUCUUUAAAUGCACAUUUAAAAGACAAAUACGUUUUGAAAUGUAGCUUAACAUUUUGCUAAUCAAGAAUAGUUCACCUUUAUUAAAGGUAAAGGCAAGAGCAUAUGCAUAGCCAACGAAGUGGUUCAUUCCAUGAGUAACUCUAGGAAAAUAUCUCUCAUAAUCCUCAAACUCGAAAUGGAAAACAUCUUUGAUUUGAUAUCUCGGUCUACCAUUAUGCACAUAUUACACAAAAAGAACUUUUCUCCCCAAUUUAUUGACUGGAUCAUAGCCUCUCCCCUAACCUUCUCGUCCUUAAUCAAUAAUGCACAAUCUACUUGGUUCAAAAGUGAGAGGAAUUACGUGUUCAUCAUUGUUCAACAAAUUAUAUCCACUCUAGUAUCUAAUGUUGUGCAUAGAGGCAAAGAUCAUCCCUUUCAACCUCAAAGGCAUCAAAAUUUUUCAUCUUAUAUAUUUACGGACCAUCUACUUUUUGCCUUUAGAGGAAAUCCCAAAUUUUGCUCCCAUGUCAUGAAAUUUUUUUGUAUUUUGAAAACCUUACCAAUCUCAAAGUCAUCCUGAGUAAAUCCAAUAUAUAUUUCUCGAACACUACUAUCCUCCUUCGUCCAAAUAUAGCAUCUGCUCUACCUUUGGUAUUAGUGAGGGAAAUUACUCUAUCAAGUACCUCGAAACCUUUCUUUCCCUUGAUAGACUAGGAGUCCAAUUUCAACACUCUAAUGGAUAAAAUUAUGAUAAGAAUUCAAGGUUAGUAUAGAGAUCUCUUGUCCUAAGUUGGCAAAACAAUAUUUAUAAAUUUUACCAUCAAGUCUUUAUCUAACCACAGGUCUUCGAAAGAAUUCCAAAUAGAAUCUCUUCCUUCACCAAGGAAUUUCUACAGAAUGAUAAUCUUAAUCACUAUAAUAUGCAUCUUAUACAUUGGAAAAAUCUGACUAAACGUAAAGAUUAUAGAAAAUUGAGCACCAAAGAUCUUUUCCUAGCCAAAAAUCCAUCUGUGCCUAAAAAUUAAUACUCAUUCUCAACAAUGAUGACUAUCUAUGAGUAUAAAUCUUCUCUAAAUAUGAUCUAUUCAUUCUCAACAAUGAUGACUAUGAGUAAAAAUCUUCUCUAAAUAUGGUCCCAUGUAUUCUUGGGGAAUGAGACUCCGAAAAACAUAUCCAAGACUUUUUAUGCAAUCUUCAAUUGAUUCCACCUACAUUAAUGUUAGUAUCAUGGACUAUUUCCCUCUAGUGUCUAAUCUAAAUUACUCCAAUUUUUUGUCACCUUACCUUGUUGCAUGGCUAACUGAUGGACAAAUCCUACAGUAUCCAUCUCUCUCAAAUGCCCAAUGAUGAGAUAUGAGUACUCUCAACUCAUCUAGAAGCACCUAGGUGAGAAAUGCCCAUAUCCGCUUAAGUAGAGGACCGGAAGAGAAUUGGUCCGCUUAAGUAGCACAUAACAUUAAAAUUUUCUUAUGGAAGUUUCAUUGGUAUUGUCUCUCCACUUCUUUAUGAUUGUCCAACAUCUUACAUUGCCAAAUCAAUCAUUGUUUUCUUUGCAAAUGGAUUCUAAUUCCCUUCACUCACUACAUCUUCUCUUGUCACAUUGUCUGAUCUUUCUAGGACCUGCUCCAGUCUCUAUGAUCUGAUUCCCUUAACUACAUCUUGAAGCUCUCUUAUAGCAUCAAGGGAUUUGAUGCUUGGCGCUAGGGAGCCUACUUGGAGGAACGUAUUGAUCUCGACAAACCCUCAUUUGCUGCAUCACUACCCUACUUUUUUGUUCUUAUGGAAUGGUAAGAACAAUGCCCGGCAUUAGCUUUACUCUCUUGAGAGCACUCUUAAGAGAGAUAAUAAGAAAACCACCCAUCCACCCGAGGUUUCACUUCAACUCUAGUUUUUGUAAGAUGUAGCUAUGUCCCUUUGUAUGACCUCUCUUGCUGUUUCGCAACCUCACCCAUGUUGGCUCAUGUUGUGCUCAAAAGACUUGAUAGUAGCAAAGAUAAAAGACUCUCAACUAUUUGCACUAAAAUUGACGCCCUUCAGUUAUUUUUUUCUUCUUGUUUAUUUUUCAUUUUAAUGUAACAAAUUUUGUUCAAUGCAAUUCUACUAUUCCACUAAAACCUACUAAAUCUUAACCAUCAGAACCAAUUUAUCAUUUUUUUCCGACCUCAAGUCUUUCACCGAUAUGGUUUGCAUUACAUGUCACAAUUUUAUAUCAUCAAAACUAUAUUCAAGAUAUGAACCUUUGGGAGUAUUCCCCCGUAGCACCUUUCUAGUUUUUAUAAUAGAAAAGCCUCUUUUUUUAGUCCAUAACGAGCAUUUCAGCUCUGGGUACGUUUCCGUCCACUCCCCGAAAGCAAGAGAUCAAAACCGCAAAACAUAAACCGUAAGGUUGCUACAAGAAAAUCUCGAGAAAUUGCUGAAAUGAAUACCACCAGUGCACCUUCACAGAAGUUGAUACUUGUUCGUGAAGGGAUUUCAAGCACUCAGUAGCAAAUGGUUGCUUUAGCUUAUGAUUUUGUUAAGCGCUGACGUACUCAGAUCGAAUCAGCGCUGGACCGUCAAUAAGCAUAUAAGAUCAAUUGAGUUGCCAUCACAACUAUUUGAUCCAUUAGAACCAGAGGAAAGCGAUUUCCUACCACGGAUCCCACAUGAUAACGUGGAAACUAUAAUCGUCAGAAGGAAAUGAUCACAAAAAUUUACUCAUGUAGAUCCCCAGUUUUAAGGACGAAAUUAAAAUCCUAACCUAAAGAUUCAGAACGAAAACCAAGUAAAUACACCGAUUGGAAGAAUCGUUUUUAUCUUACUUGCAAACACCGAAAACAAAGAAAGUCAUCCGAAAUCGUAAAAAAAACAAAAGGGUAAAGAAAGCGAGAGGAAGGCAUCGAUCUAUGAGCGUCGAAGCCUGCUUACCCUAAUGUGGAUCGAAGAGGCAGGUUGUCUCCACGGAAGGAGAGUCCAGCCGACUGGAGAUGAAGUGGUGCGCAGAAUAACGAGAGGAGGGGGUUUUAAAAG
This 3216-nucleotide long non-coding RNA is filed under the name Musa acuminata (dwarf banana). Its description in RNAcentral is "long non-coding RNA (MACU_LNC002063)". Lineage: Eukaryota; Viridiplantae; Streptophyta; Magnoliopsida; Zingiberales; Musaceae. The record is from RNAcentral.